UGCACCCUCCUCUUUCUUUUUUUUUUCUUCUUUUUUUUUGAUAAUGCCCCAGUUGGCUGUUCUGCUGAUUCUCGAGAUGCAGCUGAGUGAUCUUCUUUUCUUGCUCAAGAAGUCGGGAAAUCUCAUCAGGAAUCCCUUCAACAUCAUCUUCGUCCGCUUCGAAUACAGGGAAUUCAAAAUUGGGAGAUGACGUCCGAUCAUUAUGUUCAAUGGGUUUGAGAAACAACCUGCAUAAUGAUUUUGAUAUGAAAAGCUUUUUGAAAAUCAAACAAGACAAUCGUUAUGCAGAUGAAAAGAUUGCUUUUAUUCUUGUUUUUUAAGGUUUUUUGUGAUCACC
This 337-nucleotide long non-coding RNA is filed under the name Lathyrus oleraceus (garden pea). RNAcentral describes it as "Pisum sativum (pea) long non-coding RNA (PSAT_LNC017950)". Lineage: Eukaryota; Viridiplantae; Streptophyta; Magnoliopsida; Fabales; Fabaceae. The record is from RNAcentral.